UUGGCAAUAUUUACCUAGCUUUUGGUGUUACGCUAACGUAACUCCUUUGAUAAAACAUUACCAAGAUGUAUAAAAUUUGGUAUGGCAAAACAAAUCUUUGAAAAAAAUGCCAUACAUGCCAAAUUAAAAAAACAACAGAGGUCCGUAAAAAUAUGAAAUAACCCCUUUUUUGCCAAAAUCCCAGGGGGCGGGGUCCGGACCCCCUGACCCCCUUUGAAUCCGCAUAUGAAGCGAAACGUGUAUGUUGUUACCAGCAGUUUCACGUGUUUCCAGUAGUUCCGUAUCGAAAUGAAAUAUUGCAAGGGAGGUAAUUCUUGAAACAUUAUCAAAACGUGUUCUCGGAGUUGCGUCCCUCUAAUGCAAGCUGCAUACACCUGCGUACCAAUUGCGAAGGUGGGUGGGCUGAGGGUAGCUGGAGUGUUUCCGACAGUAUUCAAAUUGCAUACGCGUACUAAUAUAUGGCUGUAAGAGUUCAUGGGACUUUGUAUUACUCCAUAGACAGAUGUCAGCAUCUGUAAUCGAACUAGAGGUGAUGGACAAUGCAUUUAACAUGUUCCAUCGACACUCAAAUUGCGUAAUUACGUCACUCGUAGUUCGAACAUUGAACCAACUUUACUCAGUGUAUUAACAAAUCAUCCUUUCUUGACUGGCCUAAUCCGUAUCAAGUGCACCGAUUAUACGUUCAACACGUGUUAGAUGAAUAUAGAUUUUACGGCCUUCGUGAUUAAUUCCUACGGAUCU
This 741-nucleotide small RNA is filed under the name Spisula solidissima (Atlantic surf clam). RNAcentral's name for it is "cnRNA37". Lineage: Eukaryota; Metazoa; Mollusca; Bivalvia; Venerida; Mactridae. The record is from RNAcentral.